This 815-nucleotide ribosomal RNA is filed under the name uncultured bacterium. Its description in RNAcentral is "bacterial SSU rRNA". It matches the Rfam family "Bacterial small subunit ribosomal RNA", at positions 8 to 796 of the family's 1533-position model. The record is from RNAcentral.
AGAGUUUGAUCAUGGCUCAGAACGAACGCUGGCGGCGUGGAUAAGACAUGCAAGUCGAGCGCUAAUUACAGGGUAGCAAUAUUCUGUAGUUGGAGCGGCGCAAGGGUGCGUAACACGUGGGUAAUCUGCCAUGAAGUUUGGGAUAACUUGCUGAAAGGCGAGCUAAUACCGAAUGUGAAAAUUAGGAGGCAUCUUCUGAUUUUCAAAGUUGGGGACCGUAAGGCCUGACGCUUCAUGAUGAGCCCGCGGCCUAUCAGCUAGUUGGUGAGGUAACGGCUCACCAAGGCUAAGACGGGUAGCUGGUCUGAGAGGACGACCAGCCACACUGGAACUGAGACACGGUCCAGACACCUACGGGUGGCAGCAGUCGAGAAUUUUUCUCAAUGGGCGCAAGCCUGAAGGAGCGACGCCGCGUGGGGGAUGAAUGGCUUCGGCCCGUAAACCCCUGUCAUUUGCGAACAAAUUGGUUCACUUAAUACCUGAACCAUUGAUAGUAGCGGAAGAGGAAGGGACGGCUAACUCUGUGCCAGCAGCCGCGGUAAUACAGAGGUCCCAAGCGUUGUUCGGAUUCACUGGGCGUAAAGGGUGCGUAGGCGGUCGGGUAAGUCUGAUGUGAAAUCUCCGAGCUUAACUCGGAAAUGGCAUUGGAUACUAUUCGGCUAGAGAGUUGGAGGGGGGGCUGGAAUACUUGGUGUAGCAGUGAAAUGCGUAGAUAUCAAGUGGAACACCAGUGGCGAAGGCGAGUCCCUGGACAACUUCUGACGCUGAGGCAUGAAAGCUAGGGGAGCAAACAGGAUUAGAUACCCUAGUAGUCC